Long non-coding RNA from Micropterus dolomieu (smallmouth bass), 1357 nucleotides. RefSeq lists it as uncharacterized. The transcript has 3 exons. The record is from RefSeq and is a predicted model, not a curated record. Lineage: Eukaryota; Metazoa; Chordata; Actinopteri; Centrarchiformes; Centrarchidae.
UUGAUAGUAGAAGCACAAACAGGACAAACAACAAGGGAACAACGUAGGGAAGGCUGAACCCACUUCUGAAAAGCUUCCAUUGUGAAUUGUUGCGGGGCAGAGGCCAGAACAAAACCGCAGCGCAGCAGGAACGUGAUGCAGACAUUUCCUGUGUGAGUCCAGGGAUUUUACCAGGUCAGAAAUUGGGGAGAACUUAAGUCAAGCAUUAGUCCACCAGAUGCCCUCAGACUUUUCUCCUAUCAUUACCGAUCCUGCCACUCCCAUAUGCCCUGCAAUCACCUCAUUCCCCUCACCUGGGCUUCCCCAAUCAGCCACCACUGCUGAUGACCAGCCAGACCUCCAGUCAUUCACUGAUGCCCGGGCAGACCUUCAGUCGGCUGCCCCCACCAACACCUUGUCCAACCAGUCCAGUCUCUGCUAACACACCCAACCUCAAGGUCUGGGCUCAGCCCCCAGGCUGUUUGCCAACAUGUUUGCCAUAUCAGCUUUAUAAGGUGAAAAUAUGUCAAUGUUGUGAUUUCAGCUUGUUGCGCUACCCCAUGUGGCCAAAAAUCAAUUAACACAGGUUUGUCUAAAACAACAAGCAACAUUUACCAAAUCAAUGUGCAAUUGAUUUGCCAGACAGUAGACAUGGCAAGUGACUUGAUGUAUAUUUCACAGUUUUAUCUUGAAAUAUUUCCAAUUUGUUAUUAAGAUAUGAAACAAAUGUCAUUAUACAAACAUAUGUUUUUAGAUAAUGAGCCUCAUUCAAUUUUGUAAGAACGACUCUUCUUAAAGUGGCGCUGUAUCUACACCUUUGAUGUAAAGUAGAUUUUUAUUUGUUAAAACAUUUGUUUAUUUAAUACAUUUUUUCUUCCAUGACUAAAUUGCAACAUUUUUCUCUUUCUGCCUUGCCCAUUCUACCUUCCUUACCUCUGUUAUGAUCAUCAGUGUUGACAUUAGGAUGCAGUGACUGUGGUGUCUGUUAGCCAUGGGACUGUUAGCUUGACUUAAUGCAGACAUGAUGUACAGGCCAGAAUAAUGAAACAGUGUCAUGGUGUGUGUGAGAGAGAGUAAGUGAAAGAUGUGUAUACAUACUGUACAUGCAUGAAUGUUGAACAUUGGGUCCAGGUAAGUCUGUGUGUUUGCAGACGUGUGCAUUAAAUGUGUUAUAAUUGGCAUUUACAAGAAAUGUACAGGAUUAGUUGGGGUGACAUUGGUGCUGACAUGGUGACAACAUUCAGAGUUUCACAGCAGCUCACAGACGUCUCCUGACAUUUCAUGAAACAAGCACAAUGUCAUAACAUAACAUGUCCUGUGCAUAAGAAAUUAGAGGAAUUCAUUUCCCAGCAGGAGAGGAUUAUAUGGAGACACUGAU